UAUAGCUCUUUGGAAUAGGAUACAACCUUAAUUAGAGAGUAAGCAUAUAUCAACUACCAUAGUUGGCCUAAAAGCAGCCAUCAAUUAAGAAAGCGUUCAAGCUCAACAAAUUAAUUAUAAUUUAAUACAAACAAUAAGCUCAAACUCCUAAUACCAAACUGGACUAAUCUAUACCAAUAUAGAAGUAAUACUGUUAAUAUGAGUAACAAGAUUUAAAUCUCCAAGCACAAGUAUACAUCAGAACAAAUAUAUAACUGAUAAUUAACGGCCAAAUAAAUAAAACCCAUCAUAAAACAUUUAUUUAACCACCGUUAACCCGACACAGGAGUGCACUUUAAGGAAAGAUUAAAAGAAGUAAAAGGAACUCGGCAAACACAAACCCCGCCUGUUUACCAAAAACAUCACCUCUAGCAUUACUAGUAUUAGAGGCACUGCCUGCCCAGUGACAACUGUUUAACGGCCGCGGUAUCCUGACCGUGCAAAGGUAGCAUAAUCAUUUGUUCCCUAAAUAGGGACUUGUAUGAAUGGCCACACGAGGGUUUAACUGUCUCUUACUUCCAAUCAGUGAAAUUGACCUUUCCGUGAAGAGGCGGAAAUAUACCAAUUAGACGAGAAGACCCUAUGGAGCUUUAAUUUAUCUACUCCAAUAGAAUAACUAAUUACCCACACAGGAAUAACACCUCAUUCUAACUGGAUAGAAAAUUUCGGUUGGGGUGACCUCGGAGCAUAAACCAACCUCCGAGAAUUUUUACCAAGACUAACAAGUCAAAGUACAAUUAUACUAAUUGAUCCAGUCUUACUGAUCAACGGAACAAGUUACCCUAGGGAUAACAGCGCAAUCCUAUUCUAGAGUCCUUAUCGACAAUAGGGUUUACGACCUCGAUGUUCGAUC
RNAcentral lists this ribosomal RNA (892 nucleotides) under Cryptotis mayensis (Yucatan small-eared shrew). RNAcentral's name for it is "partial 16S ribosomal RNA". It matches the Rfam family "Bacterial large subunit ribosomal RNA", at positions 1021 to 2538 of the family's 2925-position model. The record is from RNAcentral. Lineage: Eukaryota; Metazoa; Chordata; Mammalia; Eulipotyphla; Soricidae.